CCUACGGGAGGCAGCAGUGGGGAAUUUUGGACAAUGGGCGCAAGCCUGAUCCAGCCAUGCCGCGUGAGUGAAGAAGGCCUUCGGGUUGUAAAGCUCUUUCAGUCGAGAAGAAAAGGCUGCAGUGAAUAACUGUAGUUUAUGACGGUAUCGACAGAAGAAGCACCGGCUAACUACGUGCCAGCAGCCGCGGUAAUA
Molecule: ribosomal RNA, 195 nt
Filed under: uncultured bacterium
Lineage: Bacteria
Description: partial 16S ribosomal RNA
Rfam family: Bacterial small subunit ribosomal RNA
Source: RNAcentral